CAAGAUCCCUGAGUCACUCACAUUCUUCCAAUCAUAGAGCUGACCAUCUGCCUCCUGGGCUGCAUGGAGAGGGGGUCACCUGGCCAGAUAUUCUGGACAAGGGCUGACUCGAGGCCAGACCUUCCUCCAGACACAGAGCCAGGUCCUGAACUCAUGACCACGAAGAGGAAAAACAGAGGAACAGAGAAGUUAAGUCACUGGCUCAAGAUCACGCAGCUUGGAAGUUGCAGCACCGAUGGAAUGGAUAAUCCAGGAGGAUUGGAGAUGGCAGCUCUGCAGGACAAAGCCCCCACUCCCUCAUGUGGUCCCUCUUCUUUCUGCUAAAUGCAGAAGACUCCAAUGUCCCAGAGGAAAGUAGAACCACAAGACCAAAGAGCCUGGAUCCCUGAAUCACCACAUGGAAGACCUGUCCACCAAUGGGGAGUUAUUGCAUGCAUGAGAAAUAAAGUUUGUUGUAAAGCCAUGGAGAUUUGGAGUUUAUCUGUUACAGCAAUUGGUAUUACCCUAACUUAUAACCAAGUAGGAGUGGGAGAUAAAGUAUGCCAG
Molecule: long non-coding RNA, 546 nt
Filed under: Homo sapiens (human)
Lineage: Eukaryota; Metazoa; Chordata; Mammalia; Primates; Hominidae
Description: HSALNT0213292
Source: RNAcentral